RNAcentral lists this ribosomal RNA (191 nucleotides) under unidentified proteobacterium. RNAcentral's name for it is "partial 16S ribosomal RNA". It matches the Rfam family "Bacterial small subunit ribosomal RNA", at positions 304 to 489 of the family's 1533-position model. Lineage: Bacteria; Pseudomonadati; Pseudomonadota. The record is from RNAcentral.
UCAGUCACACUGGAACUGAGACACGGUCCAGACUCCUACGGGAGGCAGCGUCGGGAAUAUUGGACAAUGGGGGAAACCCUGAUCCAGCCAUGCCGCGGUGUGAAGAAGGCCCUAGGGUUGUAAAGCACUUUUAGUAGUGAGGAAGGUCAAGUGGUUAAUACCUACUGGGAUUGACGUUAGCUANAGAAAAA